Molecule: ribosomal RNA, 282 nt
Filed under: Listeria monocytogenes
Lineage: Bacteria; Bacillati; Bacillota; Bacilli; Caryophanales; Listeriaceae
Description: partial 16S ribosomal RNA
Rfam family: Bacterial small subunit ribosomal RNA
Source: RNAcentral
UUAUGAGAGUUUGAUCCUGGCUCAGGACGAACGCUGGCGGCGUGCCUAAUACAUGCAAGUCGAACGCUUUUUCUUUCACCGGAGCUUGCUCCACCGAAAGAAAAAGAGUGGCGAACGGGUGAGUAACACGUGGGUAACCUGCCCAUCAGAAGGGGAUAACACUUGGAAACAGGUGCUAAUACCGUAUAACACUAUUUUCCGCAUGGAAGAAAGUUGAAAGGCGCUUUUGCGUCACUGAUGGAUGGACCCGCGGUGCAUUAGCUAGUUGGUGAGGUAACGGCU